RNAcentral lists this ribosomal RNA (253 nucleotides) under uncultured bacterium. RNAcentral's name for it is "partial 16S ribosomal RNA". It matches the Rfam family "Bacterial small subunit ribosomal RNA", at positions 524 to 776 of the family's 1533-position model. The record is from RNAcentral.
UACGUAGGGGGCAAGCGUUGUCCGGAAUCAUUGGGCGUAAAGCGCGUGUAGGCGGCCCGAUAAGUCCGCUGUGAAAGUCCAGGGCUCAACCCUGGGAUGCCGGUGGAUACUGUCGGGCUCGAGUCCGGAAGAGGCGAGUGGAAUUCCUGGUGUAGCGGUGAAAUGCGCAGAUAUCAGGAGGAACACCAAUGGCGAAGGCAGCUCGCUGGGACGUGACUGACGCUGGGACGCGAAAGCGUGGGGAGCAAACAGG